AACGAACGCUGGCGGCAUGCCUUACACAUGCAAGUCGAACGGUAACAGGUCUUCGGAUGCUGACGAGUGGCGAACGGGUGAGUAAUACAUCGGAACGUGCCUAGUAGUGGGGGAUAACUACUCGAAAGAGUGGCUAAUACCGCAUGAGAUCUACGGAUGAAAGCAGGGGAUCGCAAGACCUUGUGCUACUAGAGCGGCCGAUGGCAGAUUAGGUAGUUGGUGGGAUAAAAGCUUACCAAGCCGACGAUCUGUAGCUGGUCUGAGAGGACGAUCAGCCACACUGGGACUGAGACACGGCCCAGACUCCUACGGGAGGCAGCAGUGGGGAAUUUUGGACAAUGGGCGAAAGCCUGAUCCAGCAAUGCCGCGUGCAGGAUGAAGGCCUUCGGGUUGUAAACUGCUUUUGUACGGAACGAAAAGCUCUGGGUUAAUACCCUGGGGUCAUGACGGUACCGUAAGAAUAAGCACCGGCUAACUACGUGCCAGCCGCCGCGGUAA
RNAcentral lists this ribosomal RNA (498 nucleotides) under uncultured bacterium. RNAcentral describes it as "partial 16S ribosomal RNA". It matches the Rfam family "Bacterial small subunit ribosomal RNA", at positions 29 to 523 of the family's 1533-position model. The record is from RNAcentral.